RNAcentral lists this transfer RNA (77 nucleotides) under Lentisphaerota bacterium. RNAcentral describes it as "Lentisphaerae bacterium tRNA-Met". It matches the Rfam family "tRNA". From Rfam's summary of the family: Transfer RNA (tRNA) molecules are approximately 80 nucleotides in length. Their secondary structure includes four short double-helical elements and three loops (D, anti-codon, and T loops). Further hydrogen bonds mediate the characteristic L-shaped molecular structure. tRNAs have two regions of fundamental functional importance: the anti-codon, which is responsible for specific mRNA codon recognition, and the 3' end, to which the tRNAs corresponding amino acid is attached (by aminoacyl-tRNA synthetases). tRNAs cope with the degeneracy of the genetic code in two manners: having more than one tRNA (with a specific anti-codon) for a particular amino acid; and 'wobble' base-pairing, i.e. permitting non-standard base-pairing at the 3rd anti-codon position. Lineage: Bacteria; Pseudomonadati; Lentisphaerota. The record is from RNAcentral. RNAcentral also lists the same sequence under 4 other names.
UGCGGGGUGGAGCAGCCCGGUAGCUCGUCAGGCUCAUAACCUGAAGGUCCCUGGUUCAAAUCCAGGCCCCGCUACCA